RNAcentral lists this long non-coding RNA (671 nucleotides) under Vigna radiata. Its description in RNAcentral is "long non-coding RNA (VRAD_LNC001323)". The record is from RNAcentral. Lineage: Eukaryota; Viridiplantae; Streptophyta; Magnoliopsida; Fabales; Fabaceae.
GGGAAGAUGAAUUCAUAUAGCUUUCAUUCAGACUUGAAAAGCAAGGUGGUUCAAUGACUUGAUUCAACGUUGCAAUUUUGGCUUUAAGCGGUUCCCAUGGCAUUUUACACAAAUGUUCCAUCUUGGCUUUCGUUCAAAGUAUAAAUCUUUUGUUGAGAGAAAUCAAAGAAUCUUGGGUGUGGUGAUCUUGUUGGGGUGGCCUAGGGGAGGACGACUCGGGAAUGGGUGAGAGAUGUGAAGAAGAACUAAAAGAGACAGAUUUUUUGGGUGGUUUGGAUUUGGUGGUGCAUGGAGGAGGGCAUGGUGGUUGCCUAAGGUUUUUGGGUGUGUUGGGAAGAAGAUGAGAUGACGUGGACAUUAUAUCGUUAACGAUUUAGACGUUGUCAUGGAAAAAGACUAAAUUGAACAAAGUUAUAAAAAUUGGGACCAGAUUGAACACUAAAAAAAGUCGAGUCCCACAUUAUACAAAGUAAAUGAAAAUAAAAUCUAAAAGUGAUAUUAAGCCAAAAAAAUAUUAGAGUAGUGAAUAUGAUAUUAAAAUUCCAAAAAAACACUCCUAAUCGAUCCAUAUGUUAAUCCUCUGCUUCAUUUAAUCAAUUUUAUUGAUAUGAACGUUUGUUAAAUUCGACAAAUUUUACAUUCUUUCAUGGAAGAGUUAUUUUAGUACCAAC